Molecule: small RNA, 29 nt
Filed under: Bombyx mori (domestic silkworm)
Lineage: Eukaryota; Metazoa; Arthropoda; Insecta; Lepidoptera; Bombycidae
Description: ovarian small RNA-17749
Source: RNAcentral
GUCCGACUCUUGCAGGAUAAAAGCCUCAC